Molecule: ribosomal RNA, 499 nt
Filed under: uncultured bacterium
Lineage: Bacteria
Description: partial 16S ribosomal RNA
Rfam family: Bacterial small subunit ribosomal RNA
Source: RNAcentral
GACGAACGCUGGCGGCGUGCCUAAUACAUGCAAGUCGAGCGAAGUUUUUCUGGUGCUUGCACCGGAAAAACUUAGCGGCGAACGGGUGAGUAACACGUAAAGAACCUGCCUCAUAGACUGGGACAACUAUUGGAAACGAUAGCUAAUACCGGAUAAUAGCAUUAACUGCAUGGUUGAUGUUUAAAAGUUGGUUUUGCUAACACUAUGAGAUGGCUUUGCGGUGCAUUAGCUAGUUGGUGGGGUAAAGGCCUACCAAGGCGACGAUGCAUAGCCGACCUGAGAGGGUGAUCGGCUACACUGGGACUGAGACACGGCCCAGACUCCUACGGGAGGCAGCAGUAGGGAAUCUUCCGCAAUGGGCGAAAGCCUGACGGAGCAACGCCGCGUGAGUGAAGAAGGAUUUCGGUUCGUAAAGCUCUGUUGUUAGGGAAGAAUGAUUGUGUAGUAACUAUACACAGUAGAGACGGUACCUAACCAGAAAGCCACGGCUAACUACGUG